RNAcentral lists this long non-coding RNA (829 nucleotides) under Monodelphis domestica (gray short-tailed opossum). Its description in RNAcentral is "lncRNA (ENSMODG00000045314.1)". Lineage: Eukaryota; Metazoa; Chordata; Mammalia; Didelphimorphia; Didelphidae. The record is from RNAcentral.
GGGGUCAUUGUACAUUGUCUGACUGUGACUAAUCAUAUCACUAUGAGCUUGGAAGACUCAGAUCGGGCACAAAUAGCCCAUAUGAACUUUUGGGAUGGUGAAGGAGAUGUCUCCAAAUCUGCCCAUCUCAUUUCUUUUGAGCUUCUACAGUUCUGCUAUGCCCACACAGCACAAAGCUUCUUUGAUGCAGAAUGCCAUGAUGGACAGAUCUGUUCCAGUGUCUUCCAUGUCCCACAAUCAAUACCAAAGUUCUUCAGAGAGAUUUUUAGAGUGUCUUUGUAUCCCUUUUUCUGGCUUCCAUGUGAGUGCUUGCCUUGGGAGCUUAGGAGAGGAGUCUGCCAUCUUGCCAGGACCUGUUCCUCAAUGUAGUCUCUUAGGCAAAUGUGCAUUGGGCAUUCAGUUCCUUUCAUCUGAAUCAGCCUUCUUGCAUUUAUCAACCAGAAAAUGAGUAAAAGCUACAGAUGGAAAAAUCCUGAAAUAACUGUGCAUGAUGCAGGUGGGCUGAAAAACUUUUGGGAGAAAAAAAUUGAACAUCAUGCAAAGAAAGUACAAAAUGAAGACUCUCGAAUAAGCAAGAGUGCCCUGGAUAAGCUCCGCUGUGAAUGGGCUCAGAGACUGGAAAGAAGAAUCAAGAUGCUACAGCAGCCUGAGGAAGUAUCCAAGAAGUCAUCUCUAAUCCCUAUUGAAUCUUUCCCCCUUAUUGAUAAAACAGUAGCCUGAAGUUAUAACUAAAAUGACAAAAUAGGGAAAGUGUUGUUUCAUGGGGAAUGAAAGCCCCUUUAGGAAAUUCCUGUGGAGCAGCAAAAAAAUAAAGUAAAAAUGAAUCCCA